Molecule: ribosomal RNA, 863 nt
Filed under: uncultured bacterium
Lineage: Bacteria
Description: bacterial SSU rRNA
Rfam family: Bacterial small subunit ribosomal RNA
Source: RNAcentral
AGGACGAACGCUGGCGGCGUGCUUAACACAUGCAAGUCGAGCGGAAGGGCCCUUCGGGGUACUCGAGCGGCGAACGGGUGAGUAACACGUGAGCAACCUGCCCUUAGCUUCGGAAUAGCUCCGGGAAACCGGAAUUAAUACCGGAUAUGACCACGGCCGACAUCGGCCAUGGUGGAAAGUUUUUCGGCUAGGGAUGGACUCGCGGCCUAUCAGCUAGUUGGUGAGGUAACGGCCCACCAAGGCGACGACGGGUAGCCGGCCUGAGAGGGCGACCGGCCACACUGGGACUGAGACACGGCCCAGACUCCUACGGGAGGCAGCAGUGGGGAAUAUUGCGCAAUGGGCGAAAGCCUGACGCAGCGACGCCGCGUGGGGGAUGAAGGCCUUCGGGUUGUAAACCCCUUUCAGCAGGGACGAAGCGAGAGUGACGGUACCUGCAGAAGAAGCGCCGGCUAACUACGUGCCAGCAGCCGCGGUAACACGUAGGGCGCAAGCGUUGUCCGGAAUUAUUGGGCGUAAAGAGCUCGUAGGUGGUUUGUUACGUCCGCUGUGAAAACCUAGGGCUUAACCCUGGGCUUGCAGUGGAUACGGGCAGACUAGAGGUAGGUAGGGGGAGAAAUGGAAUUUCCUGGUGGUAGCGGUGGAAAUGCCGCAGAUAUCAGGAGGAACACCGGUGGCGAAAGGCGGUUCUCUGGGCCUUACCUGACACUGAGGAGCGAAAGCGUGGGGAGCGAACAGGAUUAGAUACCCUGGUAGUCCACGCCGUAAACGUUGGGCGCUAGGUGUGGGGUCCUUCCACGGAUUCCGUGCCGCAGCUAACGCAUUAAGCGCCCCGCCUGGGGGAGUACGGCCGCAAGGCUAAA